ACGGGAGGCAGCAGUGGGGAAUAUUGCACAAUGGGGGAAACCCUGAUGCAGCGACGCCGCGUGAGUGAAGAAGUAUUUCGGUAUGUAAAGCUCUAUCAGCAGGGAAGAUAAUGACAGUACCUGACUAAGAAGCCCCGGCUAACUACGUGCCAGCAGCCGCGGUAAUACGUAGGGGGCAAGCGUUAUCCGGAUUUACUGGGUGUAAAGGGAGCGUAGACGGAAUGGCAAGUCUGAAGUGAAAACCCCGGGCUCAACCUGGGGACUGCUUUGGAAACUGUUGUUCUAGAGUGUUGGAGAGGUAAGUGGAAUUCCUGGUGUAGCGGUGAAAUGCGUAGAUAUCAGGAAGAACACCGGAGGCGAAGGCGGCUUACUGGACAAUAACUGACGUUGAGGCUCGAAAGCGUGGGGAUCAAACAGGAUUAGAUACCCUGGUA
This 434-nucleotide ribosomal RNA is filed under the name uncultured Oribacterium sp. Its description in RNAcentral is "bacterial SSU rRNA". It matches the Rfam family "Bacterial small subunit ribosomal RNA", at positions 341 to 792 of the family's 1533-position model. Lineage: Bacteria; Bacillati; Bacillota; Clostridia; Lachnospirales; Lachnospiraceae. The record is from RNAcentral.